AUGACGUCAUCACAAAAAGAGUAUAAAAGGCGUCAUGAACGCGACGCUCAUUCUGACACUCACCACUGACAGCGAGAGCCACGUUGCUCUGGUCCACCUGCUGCGCCGGCCGUACAACAGCGUGUAAAAGUGACAAGCGUCUAGUUGCACUUUGGGCGUGCUUCCAUCUUGCAAGCUCAAAAGUUUGCAGAAGCUAGCGUUAGCAGUUAACAUCUCCGACAACCACCAAAAAGCAUUUAUCUGGCGUGCAACUAAACAAUUGAAGCAUUCAACGGUGGCAACGUCUGGACGACAGCGCCGUUUGGCCGAAGGUGCAAACCCUCAAAACGAGCCCGUCAUGGCCGACUGACUUUGCAGGCCUGCAUCUGGCACCGAGGGAACAGGCUGACUGCAAAGUGGCAAAAAAAGAAUAUUAGCAAGGCAUCUUGUCAAAUUGACUAAAGCAAACAUUUGUUCUUUUUCUUUUGUCUGCAGGGUCCAAAAUGGCUCCCUUGCAGUCCUCGCAUGACUUCAUGGGACACUUGCAGACCAGCGAGCUGUAGUUGGAGAGACGUCCGGUGCUGCCCUCCAUUCAUCACUGGUGAAACACGCACGUGUCCAAAUGUUUGACACAUGUCAAACAUUUUAGCAUGUUCUUUGUCUUUAAUCCACUAGGUGGUGCCAAAGGACCUAGCUUCUGUAGCAUGAACACUUUCCAGUAAAGAUGCAGUUGGGACAUCCGCUACCUACUGGCCAAAGAUAAAAGCCCUGUAAAGCCAUGCAGAGGUAUCCAUCCUGGAGAAUUUUUACAUUUCAGGAACUCUGCCUGUGAAACAGCAACUCUCUGCUUCCACUCUACAGCAGAGGUGGCAAAUCCAGGUCCAGAAAGUGAAAAGCCUGCCACAAUUUGUCUUCAGCCUCUGACCUCGUUCAUCUGGAUCUGUGCUGCCUGAAGAGCCCCCGCUGUGUGGGUCACCAGCCGCUCGUAGCGGAAGCUGAGGAUAAGUGCAAAGCUACAUACCAGCAGCCCUUUCUUAUUUGCUCAGCUCUAAGGCAACCUGAGAAGAAGCAAAGAACAAAAUCAACUUCUUGAGUCAUGCAGCAAGGAACAAAAUUGACUUCCUGGUCAUGCAGCUUGCAGUACGCGGUGCCAUAAACAACUCAAUUUGUGCACUGGUCCACGCAUGGCGUACCACUCGUCCCACCGGCCGACCACUCGUCGCACCGGCCGACCACUCGUCGCACCGGCCGACCACUCGUCCCACCGGCCGACCACUCGUCCCACCGGCCGACCACUCGUCCCACCGGCCGACCA
Molecule: long non-coding RNA, 1294 nt
Organism: Syngnathus typhle (broad-nosed pipefish)
Lineage: Eukaryota; Metazoa; Chordata; Actinopteri; Syngnathiformes; Syngnathidae
Exons: 12
Source: RefSeq, a predicted model, not a curated record